Molecule: ribosomal RNA, 543 nt
Filed under: uncultured bacterium
Lineage: Bacteria
Description: bacterial SSU rRNA
Rfam family: Bacterial small subunit ribosomal RNA
Source: RNAcentral
GAGGGGCUUGCGUCCUAUCAGGUAGUUGGUGGGGUAACGGCUCACCAAGCCGAUGACGGGUAGCUGGUCUGAGAGGAUGGUCAACCACACUGGGACUGCGACACGGCCCAGACUCCUACGGGAGGCAGCAGCAAGGAAUAUUGUGCAAUGGGCGAAAGCCUGACACAGCGACGCCGCGUGAGGGAUGAAGGCCUUCGGGUUGUAAACCUCUUUUCUCAGGGAGGAGUAAGGACAGUACCUGAGGAAUAAGCCACGGCUAACUACGUGCCAGCAGCUGCGGUAAAACGUAGGUGGCGAGCGUUAUCCGGAUUUAUUGGGCGUAAAGAGGGCGCAGGCGGCCUGGUAAGUCGAAUGUGAAAUCUCCCGGCUUAACUGGGAGGGGUCAUUCGAUACUAUCAAGCUGGAGUGCGACAGGGGGAGGUAGAAUUCCCGGUGUAGUGGUGAAAUGCGUAGAUAUCGGGAGGAAUACCAGUGGCGAAGGCGGCCUCCUGGGUCGUUACUGACGCUUAAGCCCGAAAGCGUGGGGAGCAAACAGGAUCAGAU